This 341-nucleotide ribosomal RNA is filed under the name uncultured Desulfocapsa sp. Its description in RNAcentral is "bacterial SSU rRNA". It matches the Rfam family "Bacterial small subunit ribosomal RNA", at positions 1039 to 1382 of the family's 1533-position model. Lineage: Bacteria; Pseudomonadati; Thermodesulfobacteriota; Desulfobulbia; Desulfobulbales; Desulfocapsaceae. The record is from RNAcentral.
UGCUGCAUGGCUGUCGUCAGCUCGUGUCGUGAGAUGUUGGGUUAAGUCCGCAACGAGCGCAACCCCUAUCCUCAGUUGCCAUCAUUAAGUUGGGCACUCUAAAGAGACUGCCGGCGCCAAACCGGAGGAAGGUGGGGAUGACGUCAAGUCCUCAUGGCCUUUAUGACCAGGGCUACACACGUACUACAAUGGCCGGUACAAAGGGCAGCCACUUAGCGAUAAGGAGCCAAUCCCGUAAAGCCGGUCUCAGUCCGGAUUGGAGUCUGCAACUCGACUCCAUGAAGUUGGAAUCGCUAGUAAUCGCAGAUCAGCACGCUGCGGUGAAUACGUUCCCGGGCCUU